Molecule: non-coding RNA, 174 nt
Organism: Arachis ipaensis
Lineage: Eukaryota; Viridiplantae; Streptophyta; Magnoliopsida; Fabales; Fabaceae
Source: RefSeq, a predicted model, not a curated record
CACUACAGGAGAAUCAUCAAAAUCAUGGAUUAGUGUCGGUAGAUUUAAACUGCCGCUAUUUGACCAACUUUGAAUUCGACGACACUUUGCUGACGGUUUUGAACCACUGCUAUUUAAGGACCGUUGAGUUUUUCAAAUUUAUUUAGCGGCGGUUAAAAAUCCCGCUAUCUGAUA